Molecule: small nuclear RNA, 19 nt
Filed under: Arabidopsis thaliana (thale cress)
Lineage: Eukaryota; Viridiplantae; Streptophyta; Magnoliopsida; Brassicales; Brassicaceae
Description: snRNA_06889
Source: RNAcentral
GUAUCUAAUACCGAUUUAU